RNAcentral lists this ribosomal RNA (451 nucleotides) under uncultured bacterium. RNAcentral describes it as "partial 16S ribosomal RNA". It matches the Rfam family "Bacterial small subunit ribosomal RNA", at positions 29 to 507 of the family's 1533-position model. The record is from RNAcentral.
AGUGAACGCUGGCGGCGUGCCUAAUACAUGCAAGUCGAACGGUAACAGGAAGUAGCUUGCUACUUUGCUGAUUAGUGGCGCACGGGUGAGUAAUGCAUAGGUCAUGUGCCCCAUAGUCUGGGAUAGCCACUGGAAACGGUGAUUAAUACUGGAUACUCCCGAGAGGGGAAAGUUUUUCGCUAUGGGAUCAGCCUAUGUCCUAUCAGCUUGUUGGUGAGGUAAUGGCUCACCAAGGCUAUGACGGGUAUCCGGCCUGAGAGGGUGAACGGACACACUGGAACUGAGACACGGUCCAGACUCCUACGGGAGGCAGCAGUAGGGAAUAUUGCUCAAUGGGGGAAACCCUGAAGCAGCAACGCCGCGUGGAGGAUGAAGGUCUUCGGAUUGUAAACUCCUUUUCUAAGAGAAGAUUAUGACGGUAUCUGAGGAAUAAGCACCGGCUAACUCCGUG